AAGUGUAGAUUAAGCGGUCCCUAUUUCUAAGUCUUUGUCUUCCGCAAUCCAUUCAUAUUUAGUUUCUAUAUAUAUGAGGAUGUGAACACAAGUUGUUUGGAGUGGUGAUUUUCCGUAGUUUACCAAGUAUGUGAAACGGGAUUCAACAUGACAGUAAAAAAGAUGCAGAACUAUAUAUCAUCUUUACAAGAUUCCUUUUGAUUUUAAAAGUGUGAAGUCAAGACUAACAAAAUCCUAUUUCUGACAGUAGUUUAUUUCUACCAUAUAAAUUACGUGGCGUAGCACUGUCAUUUAGGGGCUCUAAUGUUCUAAUUCUGAUUAUAUAUAACGGAGAGCCGAAAGCAAGCUUGCAUAUAUAAUGAAGAGGAUACAUCAGAGAUAUAUAUAAGGGUAACCGCUUUCUACUAUUUUAUUUCCACUGCUAAUACUUUUAUGUUCUUUCUUAAAAUACAAUUUGUAUUUCAUGUUAUCAAGUAAACAUCAGUGUUGAUGGUGGGACUUGCUGAGGCGGAGUUAUUGGUUAAUCCAUGACUAACGGGGCACAGCUCUCAAUUGCCCUGAGCAUUAAUUUUCUCUUGGAAUAAAAUGUUGCAUUCUUAUACCUUCCGGGAAGAGUUGAAGAAUGAUUGUUCUCAACGUUUUGCAUUAAUUAACUCAAAUAGGCAUGUGGUUAAAUCUUUUAACUUUACCGAGUAACUAUGGGACAGUCACAAUGAGAUGACGAGUGUAUAAUUUUUUUUUAAUUUCAAUUAGUUUUUGAUUAACUAUUGAGCAUAUUUUUAUGUAGGCUCUGCAAUGUUAAAUGAAAAAUAG
Molecule: long non-coding RNA, 813 nt
Filed under: Nicotiana tabacum (common tobacco)
Lineage: Eukaryota; Viridiplantae; Streptophyta; Magnoliopsida; Solanales; Solanaceae
Description: long non-coding RNA (NTAB_LNC002748)
Source: RNAcentral